UUUUCGCGUGAGGGAUAGAAGUGGAAAUCCUUUUUUGUUUAGAUGAAACCUUAUUUUUAGCCGAACGUUCUAACAAAAAAGAUUGCAACGGAUAGCCCGACCCUUG
RNAcentral lists this small RNA (106 nucleotides) under Flavobacterium enshiense DK69. RNAcentral's name for it is "Flavobacterium sp. DK69 Flavo-1 RNA". It matches the Rfam family "Flavo-1 RNA". The record is from Rfam by way of RNAcentral. Lineage: Bacteria; Pseudomonadati; Bacteroidota; Flavobacteriia; Flavobacteriales; Flavobacteriaceae.